GACGAACGCUGGCGGCGUGCUUAACACAUGCAAGUCGAACGAAGAGCGAUGGAAGCUUGCUUCUAUCAAUCUUAGUGGCGAACGGGUGAGUAACGCGUAAUCAACCUGCCCUUCAGAGGGGGACAACAGUUGGAAACGACUGCUAAUACCGCAUACGAUCUGACCUCGGCAUCGAGGAUAGAUGAAAGGUGGCCUCUAUUUAUAAGCUAUCACUGAAGGAGGGGAUUGCGUCUGAUUAGCUAGUUGGAGGGGUAACGGCCCACCAAGGCGAUGAUCAGUAGCCGGUCUGAGAGGAUGAACGGCCACAUUGGGACUGAGACACGGCCCAGACUCCUACGGGAGGCAGCAGUGGGGAAUCUUCCGCAAUGGACGAAAGUCUGACGGAGCAACGCCGCGUGAGUGAUGACGGCCUUCGGGUUGUAAAGCUCUGUUAAUCGGGACGAAAGGCCUUCUUGCGAAUAGUUAGAAGGAUGACGGUAC
RNAcentral lists this ribosomal RNA (480 nucleotides) under Veillonella dispar. RNAcentral's name for it is "bacterial SSU rRNA". It matches the Rfam family "Bacterial small subunit ribosomal RNA", at positions 28 to 478 of the family's 1533-position model. Lineage: Bacteria; Bacillati; Bacillota; Negativicutes; Veillonellales; Veillonellaceae. The record is from RNAcentral.